This 700-nucleotide long non-coding RNA is filed under the name Phoenix dactylifera (date palm). RNAcentral describes it as "long non-coding RNA (PDAC_LNC019269)". Lineage: Eukaryota; Viridiplantae; Streptophyta; Magnoliopsida; Arecales; Arecaceae. The record is from RNAcentral.
UCUGGGUGAGAUCCAGGAAGUGAAAUGAGGUCAGUCAUGUACCAAUUUUGAAGUUUGUAUAAUAACAGUCCUAUGUGCACCUUUAUCUAUGAGUAAAUGAACUGAGUGUCAUAGUGCAUGUAUGAUCCAAUUUCACUAGAUUGUCCAUUAUUAUAACUGCUUGCCUUCUACCUUUCUAUAUUGCAUUAAUAACCAAAACUUCCUGGCAUAAAAGAAUUAUAUUGUUAUUUUUUUUCCCUUCUCUAUUCUAUUGUGCUUUAUUUAUUGCUUUUGUCCUUUUGGCCUAGUUCUCUACGUUCAUGUCUGAUGCAGGCUGAAUGGGAAGCAGAAAAUAUAUUAAGGGAAAUUCUGGAAGUCAAAAAUGGUGGCAAUUGCACCAUAUUUUACAGCAGUUAAAGCCCUUAAAAAAAAGGAGGGAGAAUUAUCAAACAUCUAUAUGAGUAUAAAUUGUGAAUCCAAUCAUCACUACAAGAAUCGUUGCAUUUUUUUGUUUUCAACAAAAAAAAACACUGGUGAGUCUGCAUAUCAAAUCAUAGAUUUUAAUGUCAGUUUAAUGAUACAAUUAGUAAUUUUCUGAUGCGAUAACUAUAAGAAUGUGAGAAAAAAUCUUUAAGUUCUGCAAGAUUUGGAUAAAUAAAACCAGUAAUUUCAUCUCCGUCUGCUAGCCCAAAGAGUCUAUAUCAUGGUGGAACUAAUUCUG